AAAGAUUAAAUGAUUUAAUAUUCUUAAAAUAAUUAAGAGAAUCCAUUGGAACAUAUCUGUUAGAUAGCCCCAUUUGGGUUUGGAGGUCCUACACAAAUCUUAUUCACAAGAAUCUAAUGGAAGGUUCUUCAGCCCUGAAUCUCUGACAUGAAUGAAGAAAGUGUGUUCCACCUCCUUUCUGCACGCCAGCAAAGAUAUAGAAACCAGUCAUAUAAAGCGGUUGUGACAGACCAGGCAUUGCCUCUGUACCAGAGACAUCAGGAGACAAAAUACUGUUUAAUGCCCAUUCCCCACAUACGGUAUCAAACUCCAGCUUCACUCCAAUUCACCGAGAAAUUGACAAGUUCAGCCCAGAAACUAUUACUGCACCGCUAG
This 375-nucleotide long non-coding RNA is filed under the name Chinchilla lanigera (long-tailed chinchilla). RNAcentral describes it as "lncRNA (ENSCLAG00000024231.1)". The record is from RNAcentral. Lineage: Eukaryota; Metazoa; Chordata; Mammalia; Rodentia; Chinchillidae.